CUGUGAAUGCCAAAGAGCUGUUUGGAAAUCCAAACCCUGAACUCUUCAAGUAAUACUACAAGAAAACUCAGAGAUAUUGUCUGAAAACGCUGUGCCAAGCUUCAUAUUUCCUACACACAAAAAACAAACAAAUGAAAAAUAAAAAAUAAUGUUUUUUCUUCUUGUUAUUAAUUUAACCUUUUAGUUUUUAUGUAAUGUUGCUGACAUACACAUGAGUAAAAAAUAUAAUUAUCCCAGUAAAUCACUGUACUGUUCACUCAAAUAAGAUUAGUGGAAAGGGAAGCUUGAGAGCAAGCACUAAAGUGAAAGACGCUGUAAAAGGAAGUUGAAACGUGCUCACAUGCCCAUGUUACAUGUGGCCAUGUUCUCUAUCUUUAAAGAAGUCCAGACAGACACACAAACAGGUUAGAGUCAAAACUAGUAACAAUGGAGGGGAGUCAGAGACCACAAUUCAUCUGUGGACUGCGAUACAUAACAAUAGGUUCAGGUGCCUUUGACUGUCCCAGACAGCCUUUUAUCUCCCUCUACAUGUCCCUGUUUGGGAUCAUACCGGUCUUCUUGGCACUGAGCUUAUGGUGUAACUGGUGCAAUGGUGUCUGUUGGUCUGUGACCACCAUCUUCUUUUGUUGCUGGUUUAUUGCUGGUAGCAUUGUCAUCUACUCCAUUUAUGAACCCAAGUACGACAAGACUACAGCACAGCCUGAUCUCUACUGCAACAAGACACUCUACCUGUUCGCAUUUUGGUUCACCAACAUGACCUACAUACUGUUAGCACUGCUCUUUUUAUCCUAUUGCUGUUGUAGACAACGAGGUGAUGGUGAUAAUGAGACUCAAACACUUGUGCGGUAAUAAAUAGAGACGAAGCAAACUUAAUUAAAAAGAUAAACAUACACUGUAAGUUAAAUGAGGGCAAAUGGUGCAUUUAAAGGCAGUUUUCCUGUGUGUCUUAUGUAGAUAUAAUCAGAUGUUCUAAUGAGCAAUGUACAUGUUUGAUCUUUUAUCAGAGAAGCAUGACAAUUUAUAUUUUAAGUAAUUAAUGUUGGAGGUUUACUUUUUUAAAAAUACUUUUGCAGCAGUACUCUGUUACGUAAUGACAUCCUUAGAUAUGAAUAAUAUCCUUUUUUCCUUCCCAUUGAUUCUCUAAUAGGUCAGUUUUAUGAGCUUGUGAGCGCAGAAAUACCAAAUGUGUGAGGCUGAAUACUGAGGAAACAUCAUAGAAAUACUUAGAGAAUAUAUUUUUUGAUCCAGUAACAAAAUCAGAGAAAACAUGGCGUCUUGAGUGAAAUGAUCAUUAAUCAUAAGUAAUACAUGUACAUAAAAAUGUCAAUGUAAAGUGUACAGUGCCUUUACAUUUCUCCAGGAAGAUCAGAAAUAGGUCCACGGAUUUAUUAAAAUGUACAAACAUCCAAGGAAACAUACAGUAUCCAAGACAAGAAAGUUUUUAUAGUUCUAACAAGCUUGAAGGUCAAUAUUUGGUAUGAUAAACUUUAUUCUUCAACAUGGGCUUUCUUUAAGUAGUCUUCAGGAAUAGUUCUCCAGGCUUCUUCAAGGACAUUCAAAGCUGCCCUUUGUUCUUUUUUUCUGUGAAGAUGAUUGUAUCCCCCUCAUUGAUGAAGAAAUACCUUUAUAAAAUAUAUAUUUUGAUCAAUCUCAACAGUCAGAGAAUGUACAGUCUGUAAUGAUUAUUAAUCAUUGGUUACAGAUGUAACCCUUCAUUGGUGCAAAGAUACCAUUUUAUGUCUGUCAUAUUGUUUUCUCUUUGCUAUUUUCAAUAGAUUCAACAGAAAAAAUUGAAAUAAUUUACGUGUUUGUGUGGCUGGCUUUGGGGUUUUUGUUAUGCAUAGACACAACACAGCCUUUUUCAUGCUUUAGUGACUCACAGAUCAGUGUUAUGUUGCUUAAUAAACAAAAAAAAAAACAUCUCUAAUUGUAAAAGGAAUGAAAAUAAAUGAAAAAGCAGCCAAUAUCCAAAGUCUGACUGCUUAGAAAUACAUCAUAAAGAAACAAGGCGUGGCUGAAGACUUUUACACAAGCUGAAUUUGAUGUAAUUUAAUGUAAUAUGUCUAUGUUAAUGUUACAAAAUGCAUGCUGUCCUAAAAUUAACAUGAAUAAAAUACUAUUUUUUAAAAUGACUGUCCUUAUCUGACACCAUCUUCUUUUAUCCUGGUCAGCUGUAAAAAGAAUGAUACUGUCAUAGUAUUUUUCACACUCAACAGUCAAUUAAAAAAAGAUUUACAGUGGGAACUAAAACAGGGAAUAUAUUUUAGAAAAACAGGCAAACCUCGUCCUGUGGAGAAAUAUGACAUAAAAAUGUUUAUGUAGCGAGGUCUUAGCGGGUUAGGACAAAUGAGAGGAAGUGUUCCUCUCCUGAGGUUUUUCUGUGACAGACACGUUGUCAGUGAUGUUUUUCUCUGGUCUGUGAAUGCAAAAGAGCUCCUUAGAAAUAAAUGUAAAAAAGAAUUUUAUGUAAUGUUGCUCACAUACAAACAAAUGAUUAAAAACACAAUUAUCUCAGUAAAUGGCUGGAUGAAAAACAAAAACAAAAACAAAAAAACAAAGUGAAAGACGCUGUAAAAGGAAGUUGAAACAACAUGCUCACAUGCCCAUGUUAAAUGUGGCCAUGUUCCUGCAACAGUCCCUUUCAAGGAAGUCCUGCCAGACACACAAACAGGUUGGUCUGCAACAGUCUGUAUAAUGCUUUCAGCUUUCACACUUUAAUUUGCUAACUAUUUUGACACAGGUACGAUGUUUACAAGCUUUCUAAAGUGGAUUUCUUAUAGAAUAUCUGUUUGUUGAACUUUUUUGGGUAUCCAAUAACUAUUCAGAUUUUAGAAUU
RNAcentral lists this long non-coding RNA (2836 nucleotides) under Oreochromis niloticus (Nile tilapia). Its description in RNAcentral is "lncRNA (ENSONIG00000023369.2)". The record is from RNAcentral. Lineage: Eukaryota; Metazoa; Chordata; Actinopteri; Cichliformes; Cichlidae.